Long non-coding RNA from Mya arenaria, 3501 nucleotides. RefSeq lists it as uncharacterized. Lineage: Eukaryota; Metazoa; Mollusca; Bivalvia; Myida; Myidae. The transcript is spliced from 23 exons. The record is from RefSeq and is a predicted model, not a curated record.
GGUAAAACUGUGGUCUCGUGUGGUUUUCCAUACCGGCUCUCGGCGAGGAUUUUCAAGAAAGGAAUACCAUCUCCAAAUCAUGAUGUGCCAAUAAGCUCCAGUUAGCUGCGGCCUUUUCCCCAGGCGGUAGUCCUGCAAUCUGAAUCCAGGAGAUGCAGCUCUGAAUCCAAUAUUUCAGAAGAAUGAAGAUGAAGCAGACCCAGGAGGAACUGUCUGUUGAAGAACCCCCCCCCCCCCACCAAGCUGCCCACCAGAGGCCAAGCUGUACUUGGUGUUUGCCAACAUCCUGUAAUUUCCAGCCUGGUUGCUGUAGCCACAGAGGAAUUUUCAAGGACAAGAACCAGUGCUGGUAAAACUGUGGUCUCGUGUGGUUUUCCAUACCGGCUCUCGGCGAGGAUUUUCAAGAAAGGAAUACCAUCUCCAAAUCAUGAUGUGCCAAUAAGCUCCAGUUAGCUGCGGCCUUUUCCCCAGGCGGUAGUCCUGCAAUCUGAAUCCAGGAGAUGCAGCUCUGAAUCCAAUAUUUCAGAAGAAUGAAGAUGAAGCAGACCCAGGAGGAACUGUCUGUUGAAGAACCCCCCCCCCCCACCAAGCUGCCCACCAGAGGCCAAGCUGUACUUGGUGUUUGCCAACAUCCUGUAAUUUCCAGCCUGGUUGCUGUAGCCACAGAGGAAUUUUCAAGGACAAGAACCAGUGCUGGUAAAACUGUGGUCUCGUGUGGUUUUCCAUACCGGCUCUCGGCGAGGAUUUUCAAGAAAGGAAUACCAUCUCCAAAUCAUGAUGUGCCAAUAAGCUCCAGUUAGCUGCGGCCUUUUCCCCAGGCGGUAGUCCUGCAAUCUGAAUCCAGGAGAUGCAGCUCUGAAUCCAAUAUUUCAGAAGAAUGAAGAUGAAGCAGACCCAGGAGGAACUGUCUGUUGAAGAACCCCCCCCCCCCCCCACCAAGCUGCCCACCAGAGGCCAAGCUGUACUUGGUGUUUGCCAACAUCCUGUAAUUUCCAGCCUGGUUGCUGUAGCCACAGAGGAAUUUUCAAGGACAAGAACCAGUGCUGGUAAAACUGUGGUCUCGUGUGGUUUUCCAUACCGGCUCUCGGCGAGGAUUUUCAAGAAAGGAAUACCAUCUCCAAAUCAUGAUGUGCCAAUAAGCUCCAGUUAGCUGCGGCCUUUUCCCCAGGCGGUAGUCCUGCAAUCUGAAUCCAGGAGAUGCAGCUCUGAAUCCAAUAUUUCAGAAGAAUGAAGAUGAAGCAGACCCAGGAGGAACUGUCUGUUGAAGAACCCCCCCCCCCCCCCCACCAAGCUGCCCACCAGAGGCCAAGCUGUACUUGGUGUUUGCCAACAUCCUGUAAUUUCCAGCCUGGUUGCUGUAGCCACAGAGGAAUUUUCAAGGACAAGAACCAGUGCUGGUAAAACUGUGGUCUCGUGUGGUUUUCCAUACCGGCUCUCGGCGAGGAUUUUCAAGAAAGGAAUACCAUCUCCAAAUCAUGAUGUGCCAAUAAGCUCCAGUUAGCUGCGGCCUUUUCCCCAGGCGGUAGUCCUGCAAUCUGAAUCCAGGAGAUGCAGCUCUGAAUCCAAUAUUUCAGAAGAAUGAAGAUGAAGCAGACCCAGGAGGAACUGUCUGUUGAAGAACCUCCCCCCCCCCACCAAGCUGCCCACCAGAGGCCAAGCUGUACUUGGUGUUUGCCAACAUCCUGUAAUUUCCAGCCUGGUUGCUGUAGCCACAGAGGAAUUUUCAAGGACAAGAACCAGUGCUGGUAAAACUGUGGUCUCGUGUGGUUUUCCAUACCGGCUCUCGGCGAGGAUUUUCAAGAAAGGAAUACCAUCUCCAAAUCAUGAUGUGCCAAUAAGCUCCAGUUAGCUGCGGCCUUUUCCCCAGGCGGUAGUCCUGCAAUCUGAAUCCAGGAGAUGCAGCUCUGAAUCCAAUAUUUCAGAAGAAUGAAGAUGAAGCAGACCCAGGAGGAACUGUCUGUUGAAGAACCUCCCCCCCCCACCAAGCUGCCCACCAGAGGCCAAGCUGUACUUGGUGUUUGCCAACAUCCUGUAAUUUCCAGCCUGGUUGCUGUAGCCACAGAGGAAUUUUCAAGGACAAGAACCAGUGCUGGUAAAACUGUGGUCUCGUGUGGUUUUCCAUACCGGCUCUCGGCGAGGAUUUUCAAGAAAGGAAUACCAUCUCCAAAUCAUGAUGUGCCAAUAAGCUCCAGUUAGCUGCGGCCUUUUCCCCAGGCGGUAGUCCUGCAAUCUGAAUCCAGGAGAUGCAGCUCUGAAUCCAAUAUUUCAGAAGAAUGAAGAUGAAGCAGACCCAGGAGGAACUGUCUGUUGAAGAACCCCCCCCCCCCACCAAGCUGCCCACCAGAGGCCAAGCUGUACUUGGUGUUUGCCAACAUCCUGUAAUUUCCAGCCUGGUUGCUGUAGCCACAGAGGAAUUUUCAAGGACAAGAACCAGUGCUGGUAAAACUGUGGUCUCGUGUGGUUUUCCAUACCGGCUCUCGGCGAGGAUUUUCAAGAAAGGAAUACCAUCUCCAAAUCAUGAUGUGCCAAUAAGCUCCAGUUAGCUGCGGCCUUUUCCCCAGGCGGUAGUCCUGCAAUCUGAAUCCAGGAGAUGCAGCUCUGAAUCCAAUAUUUCAGAAGAAUGAAGAUGUUAGUCAACUCAGUAGUGCUUGUUUGUGUGUAAAUGAUUCCAAUGAGUGAGAUUUAUAGCAAAUCAGGUGUAAAUAAGCAUCUUAUAGACAAUAGUGAAGUGCUGUACUCUGAAUUUAAUGCCAAAUCUAGCCUUCAAAACAGAUUCUUAAAGUAAUUUUUUUUUAAAAAUGGGCAUAAUAAUGCUAUCUCUGCAUUUUCUACAUCAUGUAGCCACCUCAUACAUGAAAACACUAGCAGUUGUCAUGAAUCUUUAAGUUUUGGUGUGUUUUUUUGCCAUUUCCUUUGUUGCGCCAUUUGUCCCGGAAGCCAACAAUUUGGCAUAUAGUGUUGUUUAGACUGUCUAUUAACACAUUAUCACUAAAUUUCUUGUGUUAAACUGAACAGUUCUGUUACCUUUGUAUAUAAGUGGACCAGAAAAGCAAAAUUUUGACAAGUUGAGGCAUUUCAGUUGGGCUCUAUGUCAUUUUUUAUAUAAAACACUAAGCCGAUGAAGUGGAAAAACCUUAUUUUGCUUAGAAAAAAAUCUUAAAAGAGUAGGCAGGCCAGUUUUGUGGUGCUGUUCUAUAGACACCAUUAAAAGCUACAAGGAAAACUUUACUUGGUCAAAUUAUUCCAAUGCAUAAGGAAAUAAUGGCUCUUCAAAGGUUUGCGGCUUAACAUUUGAGGAAAAUGGCUGUUUCUGCCUUUUAUGAAAAUACCACAGGUGCUAAUACUUGUCUCAUUCAUUUAGUAUUUGAUAUAUCAUUGCCAAACUUUCAGUAUGUGUUGCAUAUAGCCUGAAGCUGAACUAUAGGAGUUUUGAAGUCUGUUUCUGAAAAAAUGUUGCUUAAAUAGGCUCAAGACCACAGUUAUCUGCCCCCCGUUGACCAA